This 91-nucleotide transfer RNA is filed under the name Peptococcaceae bacterium. RNAcentral describes it as "tRNA-Ser". It matches the Rfam family "tRNA". Rfam says of the family: Transfer RNA (tRNA) molecules are approximately 80 nucleotides in length. Their secondary structure includes four short double-helical elements and three loops (D, anti-codon, and T loops). The record is from RNAcentral. Lineage: Bacteria; Bacillati; Bacillota; Clostridia; Eubacteriales; Peptococcaceae.
GGAGAGAUGGCCGAGUCGGCUGAAGGCGGUCGCCUGCUAAGCGAUUAUACGGUGUCAAGCUGUAUCAUGGGUUCGAAUCCCAUUCUCUCCG